Molecule: transfer RNA, 71 nt
Filed under: Candidatus Tayloriibacteriota bacterium
Lineage: Bacteria; Candidatus Tayloriibacteriota
Description: tRNA-Gln
Rfam family: tRNA
About the family: Transfer RNA (tRNA) molecules are approximately 80 nucleotides in length.
Source: RNAcentral
UGCGGGGUCGUCUAACGGUAGGACACGAGACUUUGGAUCUCGGUAUGAUGGUUCGAUUCCAUCCCCCGCAG